Propithecus coquereli (Coquerel's sifaka) is the source of this 1343-nucleotide long non-coding RNA. RefSeq lists it as uncharacterized. The transcript is spliced from 2 exons. The record is from RefSeq and is a predicted model, not a curated record. Lineage: Eukaryota; Metazoa; Chordata; Mammalia; Primates; Indriidae.
GUGAAUUUUGUUUUACUCACCUGUUUAUAUAGUGUACAUAAAGGACAAACAAGUCCUAAUUUACAUCUAGUCUUUCUAGAUGUUAAAGAGGUUGCCAGUGUAUGACAAAAGUAGAGUUAGUAAACUAAUAUAUUUUAUACAUUUUGUUUUAAAAUUCCUAGGAAAGACUGUCUUCAGAAAAUUUGAGCAUAGCCCACUGGGUUCAUGGAGGAGGAAAGGGUUCUAGGCCAGAAUGUUUAUAUUUUGAAGACACUUUCAAAUUAUAACUAUUGUUACAUGUGUGCAGUUUAUUCAAGACUGCUAUGUAUAUAGUGGACACAUUAUAUCCUUACCCGAAAUAUCUAGUCUGCCUAGAUGUUUAGAAGUGCCCAACAUAUGUUAAAUGUAGAGGUAGUAAAAUAUCACUUUGUAAAUAUCUUUUUGCUAAAAUUCAUAGGAAAUACUGUUUUUUGGAAAUAGAAUUGUUAAACCACCUCUGUGAGCAGUAUAGUACCAUCUACACUUGUUCAAUGAUUUGAAGGAGGUGGGAGGGAAGGAAUUGCAAAAAGUAAUAUGCUAGUGUGUUCAUACUUGGACAUUUUCACAUACCAUUUUUCUUAUGUUUUGUGACUUUGUUUUAUUAUGUGCAUACAGUGUAUAUAAUGGAAAAACUAGUCCUAAUUUUGCAACAUCUAGUCUCUAGAUGUUAAAGAGGUUGCCAGUGUAUGACAAAGUACUUAGUAAAAUUAGCACAUUUUGUAUACUUUGUGUUGAAAUUCAUAGGAAAAAGUUUGUCCUCUGUAAAUGACUUUUGGAUAUGAAUUUGUUCAACCAUCUCUAAGCAUUAAACAUACCUGUGCUUGUCCACUGGAUUGAAGGCAGAGAGAAGGAAAUGAGGAGGGAAUGGUUCAAGGCCAAAAUGGUCUUAUUUAAAAGUUACCUCAGAUUAUAACCAUUGCUACGUGGGGGCAAUUUUAUUUAACAGUGCUGUGUACACAAUGGACAAGUUCUUAUAUGAAAUAUCUAGUCUUUCUAGAUAUUUAGAAGUGCUUGAUGUAUUUAAAAGUAGAAGUAGUAGAACACUUUGUAAAUAGCUUUUAAGAACUGAUGGGAAAUAUUAUGUUUAGAAGUAGAAUUGUUAAACCACCUCUGAGGUCGGAGGGAAGAAAUUGCAAAAGGUGCUUUGCUAGUGCAUACUAGAAAAUUUCAGCUUAUCCAUUGCCCUGUAAGUUACAUGCAUUUCAUUAAACUUUGCUGUACUGUAUAUAUUGUGUAUAUACCGGACAAAUGAGUCCUAAUUUUGUAACAUCUAGUCUCCAGAUAUUAAAGAGGAUGCCAACGUAUGACAAAAGUAGAGUUAGUAA